GAGUGUUUCGGGGCAGUAAACUAUAUACUGACAAUAAUAUUAUCAGUAAAAGUACAGUUUUUAUUUGAAAAAUUAAGAAGAAAAAAAAACACUAAGUUUGGCUAGCGUUUAUGCCCAAGUGGCUACUACAAAAGACUGGGCAUACCCCAUUUUGAAUACCCUGGGAUGUCUACUUAUUCAAAUGGUAUGCCAUGAUGUGGUAACUUACAUUUCUUGGCUGCCAUACAGUCUCAAAGGCAACCUAGGCCCAGC
This is a non-coding RNA of Pelobates cultripes (western spadefoot toad), 252 nucleotides long. The record is from the annotation of a GenBank genome assembly. NCBI's taxonomy places the organism in Eukaryota, Metazoa, Chordata, Amphibia, Anura, Pelobatidae.